GGUUAAUUGACAUUUCCCACAUUUGUCUUUUUUUUUUUUUUUUCCCGAAGAGGACAACCUUCCCCGAUAGAGGAGGACCGGUCUUCGGUCAAGGGUAUACGAGUAGCUGCGCUCCCCUGCUAGAACCUCCAAACAAGCUCUCCCACAUUUGUCUUAUAGAUCUGUAUUCUUUUUUUUU
Molecule: non-coding RNA, 178 nt
Organism: Ictidomys tridecemlineatus (thirteen-lined ground squirrel)
Lineage: Eukaryota; Metazoa; Chordata; Mammalia; Rodentia; Sciuridae
Source: Rfam